This 547-nucleotide ribosomal RNA is filed under the name uncultured bacterium. RNAcentral's name for it is "bacterial SSU rRNA". It matches the Rfam family "Bacterial small subunit ribosomal RNA", at positions 355 to 896 of the family's 1533-position model. The record is from RNAcentral.
UGGGGAAUAUUGCGCAAUGGGGGCAACCCUGACGCAGCCAUGCCGCGUGAAUGAAGAAGGCCUUCGGGUUGUAAAGUUCUUUCGGUAUUGAGGAAGGUUGAUGUGUUAAUAGCACAUCAAAUUGACGUUAAAUACAGAAGAAGCACCGGCUAACUCCGUGCCAGCAGCCGCGGUAAUACGGAGGGUGCGAGCGUUAAUCGGAAUAACUGGGCGUAAAGGGCACGCAGGCGGUUAUUUAAGUGAGGUGUGAAAGCCCCGGGCUUAACCUGGGAAUUGCAUUUCAGGCUGGGUAACUAGAGUACUUUAGGGAGGGGUAGAAUUCCACGUGUAGCGGUGAAAUGCGUAGAGAUGUGGAGGAAUACCGAAGGCGAAGGCAGCCCCUUGGGAAUGUACUGACGCUCAUGUGCGAAAGCGUGGGGAGCAAACAGGAUUAGAUACCCUGGUAGUCCACGCUGUAAACGCUGUCGAUUUGGGGGUUGGGGUUUAACUCUGGCGCCCGUAGCUAACGUGAUAAAUCGACCGCCUGGGGAGUACGGCCGCAAGGUUA